This is a non-coding RNA of Podarcis muralis (Common wall lizard), 853 nucleotides long. Lineage: Eukaryota; Metazoa; Chordata; Lepidosauria; Squamata; Lacertidae. The record is from RefSeq and is a predicted model, not a curated record.
UGGCCACCUCAUGAGAAGAGAAGACUCCCUGGAAAAGACCCUGAUGUUACAUCCCUCCAAACCAUGGAGCACAGGGCUUUUUUUCAGCCCAAACUCACCACAACCUCAGGUGGGUGCCAUUGACAAGGGAGGCAUUCAUGGUACAGACGCCUGCGACUGAUUGUUGUCAUGACAAUAUGAGCAUUUUAAGGCAGAACAUUGCUGAACGGUGGAGUCUCAUUCCCCUUCCAAAUCCUCUUCUCAAAGCAUCUCAUCGAUCACAAGAACAAGCAUCACAAAACACCAAGCAAGACCAGGUCUGUCGCUUCAUGUAUUCUUUAUUUCAGUAUUUCAAAUAUCUCUCCCUGCCCCCACCCCACUGCCCAAACACACACACACCCCCCAAAAGAAGAAAAGGGGCAAAAAAACCCCUCUUUGAAAGCCACGUGCCCAUUCUACUUAUAUCAAGCAUUUUUAAAAAAUCCCUGCAAGGUGGUCUCUGCAGGGGGACUGCUUUUCAGUAGAAAUAGCUCUUUUCUCUCUCCUUUAGGGGGAAAGGGGCGAUUUGUGCACAGGCCUGCAGUGCCUCUGCUGUGCUGCAGAGGGAGCUGCUCUCCCUUGGAACCAGCUCUGCGCUUUGAAAUCUUUCAGGGCUUUCUUGCCUAGCCUCCUUCCCUUUACAGAUCCAAAAGAACAUUAUCAAAAGGCGGCUAAAUAUUACUAGAUUCACACACAGAGAAACACCUUGUACAAUCUAGUCAUAUAUGGGGGCAGGAGCCCAGGAGUCCAGCUCCCAGGCAAAACUGACCUGAACCCCCUUUUGCCAUUUAAAAAUAUCUGCCCGUCGGUUUGGAAAUCUCUUCUAAAAAUUGAA